AAGUCGUAACAAGGUUUCCGUAGGUGAACCUGCGGAAGGAUCAUUACCGAGAGACGGGGUCUAAUCGGCCCCACUCCUCACCCGUGUAUACCUACCACUGUUGCUUUGGCGGGCCACCGAGCUCUAUUCGGGGUCGGUCGGGAGGAUCGCUCCUUCCGGCCGGGCCAGCGCCCGCCAGAGGACCCAAAAACUCUUAUCCAGUACCGUCCGAGAAAUAGCAGUAACAGUUAAAACUUUCAACAACGGAUCUCUUGGUUCUG
This 260-nucleotide unclassified non-coding RNA is filed under the name air metagenome. RNAcentral describes it as "partial contains small subunit ribosomal RNA, internal transcribed spacer 1, and 5.8S ribosomal RNA". The stretch from base 1 to 46 matches the Rfam family "Eukaryotic small subunit ribosomal RNA", at positions 1786 to 1831 of the family's 1831-position model. The record is from RNAcentral.